RNAcentral lists this transfer RNA (65 nucleotides) under Dipodomys ordii (Ord's kangaroo rat). It matches the Rfam family "tRNA". From Rfam's summary of the family: Transfer RNA (tRNA) molecules are approximately 80 nucleotides in length. Their secondary structure includes four short double-helical elements and three loops (D, anti-codon, and T loops). The record is from Rfam by way of RNAcentral. Lineage: Eukaryota; Metazoa; Chordata; Mammalia; Rodentia; Heteromyidae.
GGUGGCUCAGUGGUAGAGCUCUUGCCUUGCAUUCAUGAGGUCCUGGGUUCGAUUCCUCAGCACCA